CUCCAGUUUCACAUUGUUCAUCAUCAACGUUGGAUUAUUUUCUUUAUUUGAAAUUUUUUUAUGAUUAGUAUUUUUACUGUUAGUAUUGAUAAAACAUCAAUAGUAUUAUAUGCGUGACUUAUAUUUUUUAUUUUUUAAGAUAUUUUUAAAUAAAAUAGACGUUUAAAGUUGGACACAUAAACUUAUGACUGUGCUUAUU
RNAcentral lists this microRNA precursor (199 nucleotides) under Oryza meridionalis. Its description in RNAcentral is "MIR812 microRNA precursor family". It matches the Rfam family "MIR812 microRNA precursor family". The record is from Rfam by way of RNAcentral. Lineage: Eukaryota; Viridiplantae; Streptophyta; Magnoliopsida; Poales; Poaceae.